GAUGAACGCUGGCGGCGUGCCUAAUACAUGCAAGUCGAGCGAACGGACGAGAAGCUUGCUCCUCUGAUGUUAGCGGCGGACGGGUGAGUAACACGUGGAUAACCUACCUAUAAGACUGGGAUAACUUCGGGAAACCGUAGCUAAUACCGGAUAAUAUUUUGAACCGCAUGGUUCAAAAGUGAAAGACGGUCUUGCUGUCACUUAUAGAUGGAUCCGCGCUGCAUUAGCUAGUUGGUAAGGUAACGGCUUACCAAGGCAACGAUGCAUAGCCGACCUGAGAGGGUGAUCGGCCACACUGGAACUGAGACACGGUCCAGACUCCUACGGGAAGCAGCAGUAGGGAAUCUUCCGCAAAGGGCGAAAGCCUGACGGAGCAACGCCGCGUGAGUGAUGAAGGUCUUCGGAUCGUAAAACUCUGUUAUUAGGGAAGAACAUAUGUGUAAGUAACUGUGCACAUCUUGACGGUACCUAAUCAGAAAGCCACGGCUAACUACGUG
Molecule: ribosomal RNA, 497 nt
Filed under: uncultured bacterium
Lineage: Bacteria
Description: partial 16S ribosomal RNA
Rfam family: Bacterial small subunit ribosomal RNA
Source: RNAcentral